AACGAACGCUGGCGGCGCGCCUAACACAUGCAAGUCGCACGAGAAACCCUCCGCAAGGGGGGCGGUAAAGUGGCGAACGGGUGAGUAAUGCGUGAGUAACCUGCCCUCAUGUGGGGAAUAACUCUUCGAAAGGGGAGCUAAUACCGCAUGUGGUCCUGAGGUUAAAGCUGAAGGAUCAAAGAUAGCGCCCGCAAGGGGCUGUCGCAAGAGGAUGGGCUCACGUCCCAUCAGCUAGUUGGUAGGGUAACGGCCUACCAAGGCUAUGACGGGUAGUUGGUCUGAGAGGACGAUCAGCCACACUGGCACUGAGACACGGGCCAGACUCCUACGGGAGGCAGCAGUGAGGAAUAUUGCGCAAUGGGUGAAAACCUGACGCAGCGACGCCGCGUGGGGGAAGAAGGCUUUCGGGUUGUAAACCCCUUUUGGGAGGGAAGAAAAUUCAUCCGUGAAUAGCGGGUGGAUCUGACGGUACCUCCAGAAAAAGCCACGGCUAACUCUGUGCCAGCAGCCGCGGUAAGACAGAGGUGGCGAGCGUUGUUCGGAGUUACUGGGCGUAAAGAGCACGUAGGCGGUUAGGUAAGUCCUGUGUGAAAUCCCCCUGCUCAACAGGGGUAGGUCGCAGGUGACUGCUUGGCUAGAGGACGGGAGAGGAGAGCAGAAUUCCCGGUGGAGCGGUGAAAUGCGUAGAUAUCGGGAGGAAGGCCGGUGGCGAAGGCGGCUCUCUGGAACGUUCCUGACGCUGAGGUGCGGAAGCGUGGGUAGCAAACAGGAUUAGAUACCCUGGUAGUCCACGCCCUAAACGAUGGGCACUAAGUGUAGCUAGCGAAGGCUAGCUGUGCCGCAGCUAACGCAGUAAGUGCCCCGCCUGGGGAGUACGGCCGCAAGGUUGAAACUCAAAGGAAUUGACGG
Molecule: ribosomal RNA, 909 nt
Filed under: uncultured Nitrospirota bacterium
Lineage: Bacteria; Pseudomonadati; Nitrospirota
Description: bacterial SSU rRNA
Rfam family: Bacterial small subunit ribosomal RNA
Source: RNAcentral